This 404-nucleotide ribosomal RNA is filed under the name Actinomycetes bacterium. Its description in RNAcentral is "Actinobacteria bacterium partial 16S ribosomal RNA". It matches the Rfam family "Bacterial small subunit ribosomal RNA", at positions 355 to 776 of the family's 1533-position model. Lineage: Bacteria; Bacillati; Actinomycetota; Actinomycetes. The record is from RNAcentral.
UGGGGAAUAUUGGACAAUGGGCGCAAGCCUGAUCCAGCCAUGCCGCGUGAGUGAUGAAGGCCCUAGGGUUGUAAAGCUCUUUCACCGGUGAAGAUAAUGACGGUAACCGGAGAAGAAGCCCCGGCUAACUUCGUGCCAGCAGCCGCGGUAAUACGAAGGGGGCUAGCGUUGUUCGGAUUUACUGGGCGUAAAGCGCACGUAGGCGGACUUUUAAGUCAGGGGUGAAAUCCCGGGGCUCAACCCCGGAACUGCCUUUGAUACUGGAAGUCUUGAGUAUGGUAGAGGUGAGUGGAAUUCCGAGUGUAGAGGUGAAAUUCGUAGACAUUCGGGGGAAAACCAGUGGCGAAGGCGGCUCACUGGACCAUUACUGACGCUGAGGUGCGAAAGCGUGGGGAGCAAACAGG